Molecule: non-coding RNA, 73 nt
Organism: Pangasianodon gigas (Mekong giant catfish)
Lineage: Eukaryota; Metazoa; Chordata; Actinopteri; Siluriformes; Pangasiidae
Source: the annotation of a GenBank genome assembly
GUUACAGAGAGAAGAACUCCGUUUUAUUACUGUAAAUAUCACCAAGAAUAGAGUUUAAACCCAAAAACAAAGA